Molecule: ribosomal RNA, 253 nt
Filed under: uncultured bacterium
Lineage: Bacteria
Description: partial 16S ribosomal RNA
Rfam family: Bacterial small subunit ribosomal RNA
Source: RNAcentral
GACGGAGGGUGCAAGCGUUGUUCGGAAUUACUGGGCGUAAAGCGUACGUAGGCGGCGGAUUAAGUCGAAUGUUAAAGCCUGGGGCUCAACCCCAGAGAUGCACUCGAUACUGGUCUGCUAGAGGGUGAUAGAGGAAAGCGGAAUUCCCAGUGUAGCGGUGAAAUGCGUAGAUAUUGGGAGGAACAUCAGUAGCGAAGGCGGCUUUCUGGGUCACACCUGACGCUGAGGUACGAAAGCGUGGGGAGCAAACGGG